This 246-nucleotide ribosomal RNA is filed under the name uncultured bacterium. Its description in RNAcentral is "partial 16S ribosomal RNA". It matches the Rfam family "Bacterial small subunit ribosomal RNA", at positions 527 to 772 of the family's 1533-position model. The record is from RNAcentral.
GUAGGGAGCAAGCGUUGUCCGGAAUUACUGGGUGUAAAGGGAGCGUAGGCGGGAAUGCAAGUUGGAAGUGAAAGGUAUGGGCUCAACCCAUGAACUGCUUUCAAAACUGUAUUUCUUGAGUGAAGUAGAGGCAGGCGGAAUUCCUAGUGUAGCGGUGAAAUGCGUAGAUAUUAGGAGGAACACCAGUGGCGAAGGCGGCCUGCUGGGCUUUAACUGACGCUGAGGCUCGAAAGCGUGGGUAGCAAA